ACCUGUGCACCGUCACGGCAACAACUGACUUUCUCCCUCCCUCCAGCGAAGAGUGGGUACACCUCUGCCUCUUGCCAUCCGCGUCUCUCCAGCUGCCUUCUCGCUACGCGUCUUGCCCUAGAUCUCUCGGUGCGGCAGCCGUCAGCGCUGCACUGACAGCACUCGUUCGUCUUUUCCGCCGGCGCUUCGCUUCGCGUCACGGCGCACCGGCUCUGCCGCCUCCUUUGCUCUCUCAACUCUUUUCUACUUGCCUCAUUUCCCACCCUCCCCAUCGUCCCUGCUGGCAUCGACAACGCCACAUGGAGAACAAGGCACCAGGGACGGCGCCGCGGCCGGAGGGGUACGCCUCCGCGGCCAACGCGCAGGGGCAUGAGAACUUCUUCCGCCCAAGGCAAAAACUAGGGACGCAUAACAUCCAGCGGGCAGGCCUGCGUUCUGCCAGGCGCGUUGGCUUGUGGUUCACGUCGAGCGUACUCGUGUUCGUUGUGAUGCCGGCCUAUCUAGGGCCCGCGUACGUCAAGUACGUGGCUGGCAGCGAGUGGCUGGAGCGGGCGUCGAAGUCGAUCUGGCAGCGGCGCAACGAGAAGGACUUCGAACUGUACAUGACGCAGCGCAAGAAUACGUGGGCGGAAUGGCUUGGCCUGAAGCGAUACAACAUCAGCGGGGAAGAGAACGACGGUGACAUCCAGAAGUACCGAUGAGGCUGUUGCUGACGCUCUCCGUGUGUCCGCGUCGGGAUGCGCAGGUUAAGGAAUGCCAAUGCGUUUUCGCGCUUGUUUGGGCUUCAUUUUUCCUUUUUGGUGUGGGAGGGGUAUGCGUGGACUGUGGCCUGCCUCGCCCCGUAUCGUGGCGUUGUGCGCUCCUCCUCUCUCCCUUCUCUUUCCUCUCACAGAGAGUUGCUGUUGUUGUUGUUGUUGUUGUGUGUGUGUGCGUGAUGGCUGCCCGCGUAGCUGGGCAUUUUUGUAGUGCUUGGUCCCUCUUCAUCCAUCUCCUUUGUGAGGAGGAGGAGUUCACGAAUGAGGCGACGAAGUGCGGCGCUGUUUUCUUCCUUCCGCCAACGUGUCCGUUUCGCUGCUGUGCAACGCGAGGUCAACGCUGCACCCCCCGGGUCUGCCACAGGGCCCCUCCCACUCGCAUCGCGCGGUGCGGAGCAGCCGUAGACACGCGCGCCACAGCAACGCGCCGGCCCGGUCAUCUCAGCACGGCCCCCGCCUCAAAGGCAACGCACCCGCCCGCAUCCCAGGUCGCCUCGCAGCCGCCCCAGCCAUGCUGGUUGCCACGUGGUGCAUAUCCCUCGCGGGGCGCCUGAGCCGCCCCGCACCACUAAGCAGCGAGGGCCGGGUGGGAUACGUCCCAGCCACGUCGGCACACUCUGCCCAUCAUAUGGAUGGCGCACGCGUGUGCAGUGCUGCAGGUCGCUCCGGUGCAACGCCGUCCACCGUCGGACCGCCGACGUGAGUGGCGCUGAGUCUCUCCGACUCCCCAACGUCGCAGGCGCUUGGCCCUCUCACCACGAGAAGGGGCUGUGCAUUGGCCGGGAUAGGGGAGGGGAGGGGCUGCCCGGCUUCGCCACGCACCGAGUGGGGAGAGGGGGUGGGUGCACAGAGCCCUGAGAGACGACUCGCUGAGGUGUCCCAAGUCAUGAAGGAAUGAGCGCGAGCGCAUUUGUGUAACUCUCUCUAUCUCCUACUCACACGUUUUCUGGCCGCCUUCUUUCACCCGUUCCUUUUCCGCCCUGUGCAG
RNAcentral lists this unclassified non-coding RNA (1743 nucleotides) under Leishmania donovani. RNAcentral describes it as "gene:LdHU3.25.2840(CDS-product:hypothetical_prote in_conserved)". Lineage: Eukaryota; Euglenozoa; Kinetoplastea; Trypanosomatida; Trypanosomatidae. The record is from RNAcentral.